This 87-nucleotide transfer RNA is filed under the name Clostridia bacterium. Its description in RNAcentral is "tRNA-Leu". It matches the Rfam family "tRNA". From Rfam's summary of the family: Transfer RNA (tRNA) molecules are approximately 80 nucleotides in length. RNAcentral also lists the same sequence under 1 other name. The record is from RNAcentral. Lineage: Bacteria; Bacillati; Bacillota; Clostridia.
GCCGGUAUGGUGGAAUUGGCAGACGCGUCGGACUCAAAAUCCGAAGGUAGCAAUACCGUGUCGGUUCGACCCCGACUACCGGCACCA